This is a long non-coding RNA of Nilaparvata lugens (brown planthopper), 249 nucleotides long. RefSeq lists it as uncharacterized. The record is from RefSeq and is a predicted model, not a curated record. The transcript is spliced from 2 exons. NCBI's taxonomy places the organism in Eukaryota, Metazoa, Arthropoda, Insecta, Hemiptera, Delphacidae.
CGGCGCACUACCACCUACGACCGCCUGCUAGGCGAUUCAACAAAAGUUCGCUGAGAGGUAGUACGGCGGACAAAGCGAGCUCAGUGUGGCGCGCUCAACCUGAAUACAUGGCAGGCGAUUCGAAGAGGUAGCGCAGUGCUGAGUGCUGUAGUCACGCCCUCCCCCCACUACUAGACUCACUACUCGGAGACUACCGCUAGCGGACGUUUUUCGGUGUGGCGUGCUCAGCCGAGAAAACUACCACCAGCG